Molecule: ribosomal RNA, 492 nt
Filed under: uncultured bacterium
Lineage: Bacteria
Description: partial 16S ribosomal RNA
Rfam family: Bacterial small subunit ribosomal RNA
Source: RNAcentral
AGUGAACGCUGGCGGUAGGCCUAACACAUGCAAGUCGAACGGCAGCACAGUAAGAGUUUGCUCUUACGGGUGGCGAGUGGCGGACGGGUGAGGAAUACAUCGGAAUCUACUUUUUCGUGGGGGAUAACGUAGGGAAACUUACGCUAAUACCGUAUACUACCUACGGGUGAAAGCAGGGGAUCUUCGGCCCUUGCGCGAUUGAAUGAGCCGAUGUCGGAUUAGCUAGUUGGCGGGGUAACGGCCCACCAAGGCGACGAUCCGUAGCUGGUCUGAGAGGAUGAUCAGCCACACUGGAACUGAGACACGGUCCAGACUCCUACGGGAGGCAGCAGUGGGGAAUAUUGGACAAUGGGCGCAAGCCUGAUCCAGCCAUACCGCGUGGGUGAAGAAGGCCUUCGGGUUGUAAAGCCCUUUUGUUGGGAAAGAAAAGCAGCAGGUUAAUACCCCGCUGUUCUGACGGUACCCAAAGAAUAAGCACCGGCUAACUUCGUG